GGACGCUUAGCUCAGCCGGUUAGAGCGUUUCAUUGACAUUGAAGAGGUCGGGGGUUCGAGUCCCUCAGCGUCCA
Molecule: transfer RNA, 74 nt
Filed under: bacterium
Lineage: Bacteria
Description: tRNA-Val
Rfam family: tRNA
About the family: Transfer RNA (tRNA) molecules are approximately 80 nucleotides in length.
Source: RNAcentral